This 440-nucleotide ribosomal RNA is filed under the name uncultured bacterium. RNAcentral's name for it is "partial 16S ribosomal RNA". It matches the Rfam family "Bacterial small subunit ribosomal RNA", at positions 338 to 795 of the family's 1533-position model. The record is from RNAcentral.
CCUACGGGAGGCAGCAGUGGGGAAUAUUGCACAAUGGCGGAAACCCUGAUGCAGCGACGCCGCGUGAGUGAAGAAGUAAUUCGUUAUGUAAAGCUCUAUCAGCAGGGAAGAAAAUGACGGUACCUGAGUUACAAUCCCCGUCUAACUACGUGCCAGCUGCCGUGGUAAUACGUCGGGAGCAAGCGUUAUCCGGAUUUACUGGGUGUAAAGGGAGCGUAGGCGGCAGUGCAAGUCUGGAGGGAAAGGCGGGGGCUCAACCCCCGGACGGCUCUGGAAACUGUACGGCUGGAGUGCAGGAGUGGUAAGUGGAAUUCGUGGUGUAGCGGUGAAAUGCGUAGAUAUUAGGAGGAACACCAGUGGCGAAGGCGGCUUACUGGACUGUAACUGACGUUGAGGCUCGAAAGCGUGGGGAGCGAACAGGAUUAGAUACCCCUGUAGUC